GUGACUACCUAACACUGUUGCUUCGGCGGGGAGCCCUCUCGGGGGCGAGCCGCCGGGGACUACUGAACUUCAUGCCUGAGAGUGAUGCAGUCUGAGUCUGAAUAUAAAAUCAGUCAAAACUUUCAACAAUGGAUCUCUUGGUUCCGGCAUCGAUGAAGAACGCAGCGAACUGCGAUAAGUAAUGUGAAUUGCAGAAUUCAGUGAAUCAUCGAGUCUUUGAACGCACAUUGCGCCCCCUGGCAUUCCGGGGGGCAUGCCUGUCCGAGCGUCAUUGCUGCCCAUCAAGCCCGGCUUGUGUGUUGGGUCGUCGUCCCCCCCGGGGGACGGGCCCGAAAGGCAGCGGCGGCACCGUGUCCGGUCCUCGAGCGUAUGGGGCUUUGUCACCCGCUCGAUUAGGGCCGGCCGGGCGCCAGCCGACGUCUCCAACCAUUUUCUUCAGGUUGACCUCGGAUCAGGUAGGGAUACCCGCUGAACUUAAGCAUACA
RNAcentral lists this ribosomal RNA (485 nucleotides) under Aspergillus versicolor. Its description in RNAcentral is "eukaryotic LSU rRNA". The stretch from base 118 to 271 matches the Rfam family "5.8S ribosomal RNA". Lineage: Eukaryota; Fungi; Ascomycota; Eurotiomycetes; Eurotiales; Aspergillaceae. The record is from RNAcentral.